GCUGGCCUUUAGGAGACGGCUGAGCUCUGCUUCCCCGACCGACCCAUGUCUGAAGCAAAUUGGGGGCAGGUGACUCCUGCUUUCUGGAGCAGGCCGGCUGGAGCUGGGCUUGUAGUGCGCCACGGAUUCAGGGUUGUAGGGAUGAAGUUCAAGGACACCGAGAAAAGAAGAAGCCUAAUAACUGCCCUCCCCCCCCAAAAAACCACGGUGAUUCUCAAAGCAGGAAAUAGAUAGGUAAGCCCUCCUCCGAACUAACAGGCCCCUUGUUCCUUGGAUGCCAGCAUCCUAGGACCCUGCGCAAUCAACCACCUUUUCUCAAAUCCCGAUCCAUCCUUGAACCCAGAGAAGCGGUGGACGGACAGCUUCGUUUAUGAACAGGGAGCUUCAUUACAGGAUGUGGGGUUAGAUCAUCAGCCUCUGUCGUGACUGAAGAUGACAUGCAGCCUAGAUGAGCCUCUGCAGAGUGUCAUUAUACUCCAUCUAAAACAGAAAGCACGUGGGCAGAGAAGGCUCUGUGGGCACACUGAGGCAAGACCCUUGGCUUGCUAGCCCGGUUCACAGUCUGGUUCGGGUUUACUCCAUCGCUGGGAAAGCACAGUAAGCAGUGACCUUGAUGUCGCUCAUCUGAGAUCAAGCCCCCAAGGCAGAACAACAACUCUCUGAGCCUUCAUUUCCACCUUUUGAGGAAAGCAGGUGGCAUUUGUCACUUUUGUGUAGCUGUGACAAAUUACCCACCGGAAACAAGUUAAAGGAGUUAAGAUUUUAUUUUGGUUUGUGGUUUUAGAGGAUUCGUUCUAGCAUAGCUGGAACAAACACCUGUUGUUUCUGAUUCCAUGAAGAGGCAUGGGACACUCCUCAUGUGGACCAGAGGGGCAGGGAAGGUGACUAGGGACACUGUAUCCACAAGAACCCAUGCCUAGUGACCUACUUUCCCCAGCUAGGUCCUCACUGCGUAUCCAAAUCAUUAGAGAGACUCAAAUGUGCUUGGCCUGGCUACCUGGGAACCACACAGGAAGGUUAUCUGACUGUGAUGGAUUGUAUAAACAUGAGUGGCUAUUAUUGGAGGGUUGCAAGGCUUCACAAAGAUUGAGGGAAACCAGUGGCCCAGAGAGCAGCAAUGGCUUAUGGGAAUAUAUAAAUCUAAAAGACCCCAGGGAAGAGAUCCAGGGUGGCUCCAACACAGGGUGCAGGAGGAAAAUGUGAACUUAAGAUCAACGCUUCUGUGUUUAGCUAGUGCCAGCUCUUGCAGGGCCUUGUGGCAUAUUUAAGUAACAGAUCGCAAUGCAGGGGAAGGCCCCUUGCAAAGAUGACAUGAUAGGAUUUGUGCUUUAAAAAGGUUACCCUGGCUUGUAGGUGAGGUAGAAGGUAAUAUUGAAAGUAGGAGGUGUAAGGAUUCGAGCCUUAUGCUGGCCUGCCCCUGUCACCUGGCAGAAUGCACUCAGGCAGUACCCUGGUCAGCCCAAGGUUCCAUGACUGCUAGCCUGCACGCAGGUGCAAAAGGACCCCUUUAAAAGACA
Molecule: long non-coding RNA, 1517 nt
Organism: Mesocricetus auratus (golden hamster)
Lineage: Eukaryota; Metazoa; Chordata; Mammalia; Rodentia; Cricetidae
Exons: 3
Source: RefSeq, a predicted model, not a curated record